GGAGUGCUGUGUGCGAAAGCACAGGCUGAGACCGUUAAUUCGGGAUCCGCGGAACCUGAUCAGGCUAAUACCUGCGAAGGGAACAAGAGUAAA
This 93-nucleotide non-coding RNA is filed under the name Klebsiella indica. Lineage: Bacteria; Pseudomonadati; Pseudomonadota; Gammaproteobacteria; Enterobacterales; Enterobacteriaceae. The record is from RNAcentral.